This 443-nucleotide ribosomal RNA is filed under the name uncultured bacterium. Its description in RNAcentral is "partial 16S ribosomal RNA". It matches the Rfam family "Bacterial small subunit ribosomal RNA", at positions 338 to 795 of the family's 1533-position model. The record is from RNAcentral.
CCUACGGGAGGCAGCAGUGGGGAAUAUUGUACAAUGGGCGAAAGCCUGAUGCAGCAACGCCGCGUGAAGGAAGAAGGGUUUCGGCUCGUAAACUUCUAUCAACAGGGACGAAAGAAAUGACGGUACCUGAAUAAGAAGCCCCGGCUAACUACGUGCCAGCAGCCGCGGUAAUACGUAGGGGGCAAGCGUUAUCCGGAUGUACUGGGUGUAAAGGGUGAGUAGGCGGCAUGGUAAGCCAGAUGUGAAAGCCUUGGGCUUAACCCGAGGAUUGGAUUUGGAACUGCGUGGCUUGAGUGCAGGGGGGGCAGGCGGAAUGCCUGGUGUAGCGGUGAAAUGCGCAGAUAUCAGGAGGAACACCGGUGGCGAAGGCGGCCUGCUGGACUGCAACUGACGUUGAGGCGCGAAAGCGUGGGGAGCAAACAGGAUUAGAUACCCUUGUAGUC